RNAcentral lists this unclassified non-coding RNA (865 nucleotides) under Hevea brasiliensis (rubber tree). The record is from RNAcentral. Lineage: Eukaryota; Viridiplantae; Streptophyta; Magnoliopsida; Malpighiales; Euphorbiaceae.
ACACAGCAUUGUGAACCCGAAGCUGUCAAACAUAUGUAAACAAAAAACCAAUAAGGCGAUGGUUCACUUGUUAAUGAAGAAGCCAAAUAAUGAAAAAUGAUCCACUGAGUUUACACAUCUUGCAUAUUUGAGCUACAGAUAUUGGACUAAUUAUGAGGCAAUAACUAAAAGUAUAUACAACUAAAGCUAAACAAAACCAGUUAAAUGACCAGAUAAAGAAAAUGUACCCCAGAUCAGUGCAAAAGCUGAUCCUAGGGUCAAGAUUUUAUCCCCUCGUCUUGUUUUUUAACUGAAUUAAAUUAAAAGCAAAAGCCAUGUUUCUAUUAAUCUUAUUCUAAAAUUUCUCAGUCAUCUGUGGUUUCGACCAGGUUUUCAAAUAAGGCUGCAAUGUUGAAUAAUGACCAUUUCAUAAAGGGAAUUAGAACUCCUUUACAUUAUUUAGCAAAACAGUAUUGGAUUCAAAAUACCAAAUGUAACAGCCCAAUAUGGCUGUUACCGAAAACUAUGCACAGGUUGAAUGGUUGUAAUGUCUGUUUUACCAUGACAGACAUGUUGUUAACCUCUUUUUUGCUGCCUCCCACCCUGCUUCUUUUGGCUGCCUAUUUCUCACCUCCAACUCACUUUGGAAUACCCAAACACAAGGCUGCUUACCAAGCUAGGGUUUCCUGAAUCUAUAAAAAUAAUAUUAUCUAACAUCAAUUACUCGUGGCCAAGUUUUGGUCCGGAACCGGUCAAUGGUUCUCAUAAUUGGUCUGAUACCAUGUUACCUUGGUAGAAAAGUUAUGUGUAUUUCAUCAAGAGUUGAUACGAAGUUAUGUACAAAGAUUCCUAAGAUUAAGCUAACUAAUUAGGAAUAUCUACAUCU